This 224-nucleotide long non-coding RNA is filed under the name Elaeis guineensis (African oil palm). RNAcentral describes it as "long non-coding RNA (EGUI_LNC057847)". Lineage: Eukaryota; Viridiplantae; Streptophyta; Magnoliopsida; Arecales; Arecaceae. The record is from RNAcentral.
AUGGCUAAUUUGAAGAGUCCCAAUAGAAGAGGACUUUGGUAAAGAGUCCCAUUGGAUGGAGAUUCUGCUGAAGAGUCCCACUGGAUGGAGAUUCUAGAGAAGAGUUCUACUAGACUUAGACUCUAUCAUUAAUUGAGAAUUAAUUAAUAAUUAGAUCACUAAUUAGCUCAAUUUGAUUGAGCAUUAAAGUUUGGAUCAAGUUUGAUUGAAUUGGAUUCAAUCCG